GCUGGGCGUGGUGGCUCAUGCCUGUAAUCCCAGCACUUUGGGAGGCUGAGGCGGGUGGAUCACCUGAGGUCAGGAGUUUGAGACUAGCCUGGCCAACAUGGUGAAACCCUGUCUCUA
RNAcentral lists this non-coding RNA (117 nucleotides) under Pan troglodytes (chimpanzee). Lineage: Eukaryota; Metazoa; Chordata; Mammalia; Primates; Hominidae. The record is from Rfam by way of RNAcentral.